GGAUGCGAUCAUACUAGCACUAAAGCACCGGAUCCCAUCAGAACUCCGAGGUGCAAGCGUGCUUGGGCGAGAGUAGUACUAGGAUGGGUGACCUCCUGGGAAGUCCUCGUGUUGCAUUCA
RNAcentral lists this ribosomal RNA (120 nucleotides) under Triticum aestivum (bread wheat). Lineage: Eukaryota; Viridiplantae; Streptophyta; Magnoliopsida; Poales; Poaceae. The record is from RNAcentral.